ACUUCCCAAGACCAGAGCUGAAAUGUCCAAGUUUGCUUCAAUUACACUAUUUUCCCUUUCACCCACCCUGAGAUCAUAAUCAUAUGCUCAUGAAUCACACCAGAUACUUGAUGUAUGUGUGAGUGGAAGGGGGUCAACAUGUGAGAAAUACUUAUGGAUUGUUAUUUCCUACUGUUGAUAAGAAUCGAAACUCUAUUUGCUAAUUACACAGUGUACUAUUACUAUUAAAAACACGAAGACCUGUAAGAUAAAGGUCUGAGGGGUUUGUCAAUCUGUUUUACACACACACACACACACACACACACACACACACACACACACACAUCACUGCGUAUACUUCCUCCUAUGCACAUAUCCAUAGUAGUUUAAUCAUUCCCUUCAUAGUAUGAUUGAGCAGAGGCAUGGCUGAACUCCCAAGGGUACUUGAAAAUUAUAUCUCUGAGAGAACAAAUAAGAGGUGAACAUGUAUACAUAUUCCAUACAAAACCCUAUUUAAAAUUUUUUCUACUCUUCUCAUUCAUGAGAUAGGAGAAAAGCAAACACAAAAGGGAAGUCAGGAAGACAAGAAGGAAGGAAACAGAAGUUAAACAGGAGUUAAAUCAUGACAGUCAUUCUGCAACACAGUCCCCUUUUGCAGAGGAUAAUAAGCGGCUUUGGUUAACGGAAGGCUUGUGCUAGAGAGGAAAUCACCUUGAAUUAGAAGGGAGUGCUCCUUUCUAACUUCAGUCUCGUUCAUAUUUACUUGUAUGGCCUUUGCUAGACAUUUCAAAUUUCUGAUACUUAUCUAUAAAAUGAGGAAACUUCUCCUCUGUGUGAAAAUGAGACAGAUCAGAUUACCUCCCAGGUAGAUUUUGAAACUCCAUGACUCCAUGCAUAUUUGCAAUUGCUGAAAAUAGACAGAAAUUCCUUCUGGAGAGGGGUACCCCUCUAUUUUCAAUGUAUACAUUUAGGGAUGAUUCACUAAUUCACGAAUUCAGGUUGAAUUAUGGUAGAGCCUUUCACCUGGUCCUAACACUCUGAAAAGUUGUACUUUUUAGAAGGGGUCAUGACUGGGCAAUUAGUCAUGUUUUCCUU
This 1074-nucleotide long non-coding RNA is filed under the name Sus scrofa (pig). RNAcentral's name for it is "lncRNA (ENSSSCG00005004873.1)". The record is from RNAcentral. Lineage: Eukaryota; Metazoa; Chordata; Mammalia; Artiodactyla; Suidae.